UCCACGCCGUAAACGAUGAGAACUAGACGUUGGGUCCAUUUAAGGAUUUAGUGUCGUAGCUAACGCGUGAAGUUCUCCGCCUGGGGAGUACGGCCGCAAGGUUAAAACUCAAAGGAAUUGACGGGGGCCCGCACAAGCGGUGGAGCAUGUGGUUUAAUUCGAUGCAACGCGAAGAACCUUACCUACCCUUGACAUCCUCAGAACUUGUUAGAGAUAACUUGGUGCCCUUUCGG
This 233-nucleotide ribosomal RNA is filed under the name uncultured bacterium. Its description in RNAcentral is "partial 16S ribosomal RNA". It matches the Rfam family "Bacterial small subunit ribosomal RNA", at positions 794 to 1024 of the family's 1533-position model. The record is from RNAcentral.